RNAcentral lists this ribosomal RNA (691 nucleotides) under uncultured archaeon. RNAcentral describes it as "bacterial SSU rRNA". It matches the Rfam family "Archaeal small subunit ribosomal RNA", at positions 14 to 678 of the family's 1478-position model. The record is from RNAcentral.
CCGCCGGACCCCACUGCUAUCGGGAUAGGACUAAGACAUGCUAGUUGAGCGCUUCCAGCCAAAACGGGAGCGCAGCGCACAGCUCAGUAACACGUGGCUAAUCUGCCCUUGGGACCGGAACACCCCCGGGAAACUGGGGCUAAUUCUCGAUAGGUGAAGAACUCUGGAAUGAGUCUUUGCCAAAAAGACGUUUACGUUAUGCUCGUAGGCGUCGCCCAAGGAUGAGGCCGCGACCGAUCAGGUUGUUGGUGAGGUAAUGGCUCACCAAGCCUUUUACCGGUGCGGGCCGUGAGAGCGGGAGCCCGGAGAUGGGCACUGAGACAAGGGCCCAGGCCCUACGGGGCGCAGCAGUCGCGAAAACUUUGCAAUACACGAAAGUGUGACAGGGCUAUCCCGAGUGCCAUCCGCUGAGGAAGGCUUUUACCCAGUCUAGAACGCUGGGGGAAUAAGGAGAGGGCAAGUCUGGUGUCAGCCGCCGCGGUAAUACCAGCUCUCCGAGUGGUGUGGAUGUUUAUUGGGCCUAAAGCAUCCGUAGCUGGCUGAGUUAGUCCCUUGUUAAAUCCACCGAAUUAAUCGUUGGAUUGCGGGGGAUACUGCUCGGGCUAGGGGACGAGAGAGGCAGACGGUAUUUCUUGGGGUAGGGGUGAAAUCCUAUAAUCCCAGGAGGACCACCAGUGGCGGAAAGCUGUCU